This 498-nucleotide ribosomal RNA is filed under the name uncultured bacterium. Its description in RNAcentral is "partial 16S ribosomal RNA". It matches the Rfam family "Bacterial small subunit ribosomal RNA", at positions 30 to 523 of the family's 1533-position model. The record is from RNAcentral.
AUUGAACGCUGGCGGCAUGCCUUACACAUGCAAGUCGAACGGUAACAGGCCGCAAGGUGCUGACGAGUGGCGAACGGGUGAGUAAUGCAUCGGAACGUGCCCAGUCGUGGGGGAUAACUAUCCGAAAGGAUAGCUAAUACCGCAUACGAUCUGCGGAUGAAAGCGGGGGACCUUCGGGCCUCGCGCGAUUGGAGCGGCCGAUGUCAGAUUAGGUAGUUGGUGGGGUAAAGGCUCACCAAGCCAACGAUCUGUAGCUGGUCUGGGAGGACGACCAGCCACACUGGGACUGAGACACGGCCCAGACUCCUACGGGAGGCAGCAGUGGGGAAUUUUGGACAAUGGGCGCAAGCCUGAUCCAGCAAUGCCGCGUGCAGGAAGAAGGCCUUCGGGUUGUAAACUGCUUUUGUACGGAACGAAACGGCUCUGGUUAAUACCUGGGGCUAAUGACGGUACCGUAAGAAUAAGCACCGGCUAACUACGUGCCAGCAGCCGCAGUAA